GUGAGACAGGUGCUGCAUGGCUGUCGUCAGCUCGUGUUGUGAAAUGUUGGGUUAAGUCCCGCAACGAGCGCAACCCUUAUCCUUUGUUGCCAGCGAUUAGGUCGGGAACUCAAAGGAGACUGCCAGUGAUAAACUGGAGGAAGGUGGGGAUGACGUCAAGUCAUCAUGGCCCUUACGACCAGGGCUACACACGUGCUACAAUGGC
RNAcentral lists this ribosomal RNA (205 nucleotides) under Salmonella enterica. Its description in RNAcentral is "partial 16S ribosomal RNA". It matches the Rfam family "Bacterial small subunit ribosomal RNA", at positions 1029 to 1234 of the family's 1533-position model. The record is from RNAcentral. Lineage: Bacteria; Pseudomonadati; Pseudomonadota; Gammaproteobacteria; Enterobacterales; Enterobacteriaceae.